This 429-nucleotide ribosomal RNA is filed under the name Actinomycetes bacterium. RNAcentral's name for it is "Actinobacteria bacterium partial 16S ribosomal RNA". It matches the Rfam family "Bacterial small subunit ribosomal RNA", at positions 355 to 776 of the family's 1533-position model. Lineage: Bacteria; Bacillati; Actinomycetota; Actinomycetes. The record is from RNAcentral.
UAGGGAAUCUUCCGCAAUGGGCGAAAGCCUGACGGAGCAACGCCGCGUGAGUGAUGAAGGUCUUCGGAUCGUAAAACUCUGUUAUUAGGGAAGAACAAAUGUGUAAGUAACUAUGCACGUCUUGACGGUACCUAAUCAGAAAGCCACGGCUAACUACGUGCCAGCAGCCGCGGUAAUACGUAGGUGGCAAGCGUUAUCCGGAAUUAUUGGGCGUAAAGCGCGCGUAGGCGGUUUUUUAAGUCUGAUGUGAAAGCCCACGGCUCAACCGUGGAGGGUCAUUGGAAACUGGAAAACUGGAGUGCAGAAGAGGAAGGUGGAAUUCCAUGUGUAGCGGUGAAAUGCGCAGCGAUAUGGAGGAACGCCAGUGGCGAAGGCGACUUUCUGGUCUGUAACUGACGCUGAUGUGCGAAAGCGUGGGGAUCAAACAGG